GACGAACGCUGGCGGCGUGCUUAACACAUGCAAGUCGAACGGAAAGGCCCUGCUUUUGUGGGGUGCUCGAGUGGCGAACGGGUGAGUAACACGUGAGUAACCUGCCCUUGACUUUGGGAUAACUUCAGGAAACUGGGGCUAAUACCGGAUAGGAGCUCCUGCUGCAUGGGGGGGGUUGGAAAGUUUCGGCGGUUGGGGAUGGACUCGCGGCUUAUCAGCUUGUUGGUGGGGUAGUGGCUUACCAAGGCUUUGACGGGUAGCCGGCCUGAGAGGGUGACCGGCCACAUGGGGACUGCGAUACGGCCCAGACUCCUACGGGGGGCAGCAGUGGGGAAUAUUGCACAAUGGGCGGAAGCCUGAUGCAGCAACGCCGCGUGCGGGAUGACGGCCUUCGGGUUGUAAACCGCUUUCGCCUGUGACGAAGCGUGAGUGACGGUAAUGGGUAAAGAAGCACCGGCUAACUACGUG
This 468-nucleotide ribosomal RNA is filed under the name uncultured bacterium. RNAcentral's name for it is "partial 16S ribosomal RNA". It matches the Rfam family "Bacterial small subunit ribosomal RNA", at positions 28 to 507 of the family's 1533-position model. The record is from RNAcentral.